This 1078-nucleotide ribosomal RNA is filed under the name Clostridioides difficile NAP07. Its description in RNAcentral is "bacterial LSU rRNA". It matches the Rfam family "Bacterial large subunit ribosomal RNA", at positions 1284 to 2371 of the family's 2925-position model. Lineage: Bacteria; Bacillati; Bacillota; Clostridia; Peptostreptococcales; Peptostreptococcaceae. The record is from RNAcentral.
GGGAGUGAGAAUGUUGGCAUGAGUAGCGAGAUGUGGGUGAGAAUCCCACAGGCCGUAAACCCAAGGUUUCCAGGGGAAGGUUCGUCCGCCCUGGGUUAGUCGGGACCUAAGCUGAGGCCGAAAGGCGUAGGUGAUGGACAACAGGUUGAUAUUCCUGUACUACCGAUAACCGUUUGAGAGAAGGGAUGACACAGUAGGAUAAGCUAAGCACACUGUUGGUUAUGUGUGCCCAAGCAUUGAGGCAGUCAAAGUAGGCAAAUCCGCUUUGAUAAUGCUGGGAUGUGAUGGGGAGCGAAAUUUAGUAGCGAAGUAGCUGAUUUCACACUGUCAAGAAAAGUCUCUAUCGAGGUUAAAGGUACCCGUACCGCAAACCGACACAGGUGGGUGAGGAGAGUAUCCUAAGGCCAGCGAGAGAACUGUUGUUAAGGAACUCGGCAAAAUGACCCCGUAACUUAGGGAUAAGGGGUGCCACCAUCAGGUGGCCGCAGAGAAUAGGCCCAAGCGACUGUUUACCAAAAACAUAGGUUUCUGCUAAGUCGCAAGACGAUGUAUAGGAGCUGACGCCUGCCCGGUGCUGGAAGGUUAAGGGGAUCUGUUAGAGCAAUCGAAGCAGUGAACUUAAGCCCCAGUAAACGGCGGCCGUAACUAUAACGGUCCUAAGGUAGCGAAAUUCCUUGUCGGGUAAGUUCCGACCCGCACGAAAGGCGUAACGAUUUGGGCACUGUCUCAACAACAGACUCGGUGAAAUUGUAAUUCCGGUGAAGAUGCCGGAUACCUGCGACAGGACGGAAAGACCCCAUGGAGCUUUACUGUAGCUUGACAUUGGGUCUUGGUACUACAUGUACAGGAUAGGUGGGAGGCUUUGAAACCAGGACGCCAGUUUUGGCGGAGCCAUCCUUGGGAUACCACCCUUGUAGUACUGGGACUCUAACCAUAGGCCAUGAAUCUGGUCUUGGGACACUGUCAGGUGGGCAGUUUGACUGGGGCGGUCGCCUCCCAAAAGGUAACGGAGGCGCUCAAAGGUUCUCUCAGUACGGUCGGAAAUCGUACGUAGAGUGUAAAGGCAAAAGAGAGCUUG